AACGAACGCUGGCGGCAGGCCUAACACAUGCAAGUCGAACGCCCGUAGCAAUACGGGAGUGGCAGACGGGUGAGUAACGCGUGGGAACGUGCCCUUCGGUUCGGAAUAACUCAGGGAAACUUGAGCUAAUACCGGAUACGUCCGUAAGGAGAAAGAUUUAUCGCCGAAGGAUCGGCCCGCGUCGGAUUAGCUAGUUGGUGAGGUAACGGCCCACCAAGGCGACGAUCCGUAGCUGGUCUGAGAGGANGAUCAGCCACACUGGGACUGAGACACGGCCCAGACUCCUACGGGAGGCAGCAGUGGGGAAUAUUGGACAAUGGGCGAAAGCCUGAUCCAGCCAUGCCGCGUGAGUGAAGAAGGCCUUAGGGUUGUAAAGCUCUUUCAGCGGGAAGAUAAUGACGGUACCCGCAGAAGAAGCCCCGGCUAACUUCGUGCCAGCCGCCGCGGUAAC
Molecule: ribosomal RNA, 451 nt
Filed under: uncultured bacterium
Lineage: Bacteria
Description: bacterial SSU rRNA
Rfam family: Bacterial small subunit ribosomal RNA
Source: RNAcentral